RNAcentral lists this ribosomal RNA (497 nucleotides) under uncultured bacterium. Its description in RNAcentral is "partial 16S ribosomal RNA". It matches the Rfam family "Bacterial small subunit ribosomal RNA", at positions 28 to 507 of the family's 1533-position model. The record is from RNAcentral.
GAUGAACGCUGGCGGCGUGCCUAAUACAUGCAAGUCGAGCGAACGGACGAGAAGCUUGCUUCUCUGAUGUUAGCGGCGGACGGGUGAGUAACACGUGGAUAACCUACCUAUAAGACUGGGAUAACUUCGGGAAACCGGAGCUAAUACCGGAUAAUAUUUUGAACCGCAUGGUUCAAAAGUGAAAGACGGUCUUGCUGUCACUUAUAGAUGGAUCCGCGCUGCAUUAGCUAGUUGGUAAGGUAACGGCUUACCAAGGCAACGAUGCAUAGCCGACCUGAGAGGGUGAUCGGCCACACUGGAACUGAGACACGGUCCAGACUCCUACGGGAAGCAGCAGUAGGGAAUCUUCCGCAGUGGGCCAAAGCCUGACGGAACAACGCCACGUGAGUGAUGAAGGUCUUCGGAUCGUAAAACUCUAUUAUUAGUGAAGAACAUAUGUGUAAGUAACAAUGCACAACUUGACGGUACCUAAUCAGAAAGCCACGGCUAACUACGUG